RNAcentral lists this ribosomal RNA (125 nucleotides) under uncultured bacterium. Its description in RNAcentral is "partial 16S ribosomal RNA". It matches the Rfam family "Bacterial small subunit ribosomal RNA", at positions 1379 to 1501 of the family's 1533-position model. The record is from RNAcentral.
CCUUGUACACACCGCCCGUCACACCAUGGGAGCGGGUUUCACCAGAAGCCGGUCGCCGAACCCGCAAGGGAAGGCGCCGACCACGGUGAGAUUCGCGACUGGGGUGAAGUCGUAACAAGGUACCC